Molecule: small RNA, 2108 nt
Filed under: Pongo abelii (Sumatran orangutan)
Lineage: Eukaryota; Metazoa; Chordata; Mammalia; Primates; Hominidae
Description: retained intron
Source: RNAcentral
GUUAAUGCUUGUGUAUGAGGUGAGAAUUGAAUCUCACAACACGAGAGCUAUUGAACAUUGUGAGAUGUGUGGAAUAUUGAGAACAGUGUCUAGCCAUAGAAAUCACUCAAUAAAGAUUAGCUGUCUGGACCCUGCUUCUGUCCCUUCUUUCCCUAUCAUGGCUGGCACCGUGUUCAUGCCUGUGGUAUUCCCUGUAUCCCUAUUCCUGGGAAGCAGCCCAGGAGGGGGAUUCCCUUGGCCUCUCCAGGGUCAGGUCACCAUUUCCUUCAUUAGUGUGAUGGGACCUUCAGAAGGGAAGCGCUUUCUGCGGCCAAACUGAACACCCUGCUUGGGAAGCCUGCCUCUGCUCCCUCCUUUGGGCAGCUGAUUAUUAGAACUUACAGCUUCAGGGAGGUGCUGCCCGGAGUUCCCAGGUAGCCUGUGGGCUCAGAAGGAUUCCUGAGACUGAGAGCAGUUUGAGUUGAAAUGUUGGCUUAAAUCUUGAUGAAUGAACAUUCUCGUUGGCCUGAGGGUUUUGUUGUUAAUGUUGUGGUCUUUCUAUUUUAUGUCUCAACUUAGUGGAACAGGCAAUGUUUAGAAGUCAGGUGUCAUGGAUUCUGGCCUCGGCUUUGCCGUGGACCAGCUGUGUCACUUUGAAUAAGUCAUGGAAUCAUAGGACUUUAGAGGAAACUUAGAGACUUGAGAGGAAACUUAAGAGAAGAGCUGACCAAACCCCUUAGGUGUAGAAAUAAGGCAAUGAGUGAGGGUAGAAAUGAGGUGAAGCAGAAAGGGUCUGCAUGAGGUCAAGGCCCAAGGUCAUCUGCACAUCCCUGCAAAACACUGCCUGCCUGUGCUUUGGUUUUUGAGACAGUUUAGAGUAGAUGGUCCUAAUUAUUCGUCCAUCCACAGAUUUCACGUUUCUGUUUCUACCCUGUACAUCAAUUGUAUUAUUUAAUUUUCUGUGUAGUAGAUUCUACCUGACCAAGUUCAAUAAAGAAAGUAAGUGUGUCUUUCGUCCUUAGAGUUUCAUUCCAGGGGUUUAUAUUACAAGUUGGCAGUGGAGCAGCUGCAGAGCCAUCCUGAGGCACAGGAAGCUCUGGGCCCUCCUCUCAACAUCCAUUAUCUCAAGCUCAUCGACAGGGAAAACUUCGUGGACAUUGCUGAUGCCAAGUUGAAGAUUCCUGUCUCUGGAUCCAAGUCAGAGGGCCUUCUCUACAUCCACUCAUCCAGAGGUGGCCCCUUUCAGAGGUGGCACCUUGACGAGGUCUUUUUAGAGCUCAAGGAUGGUCAGCAGAUUCCUGUGUUCAAGCUCAGUGGGGAAAACGGUGAUGAAGUGAAAAAGGAGUAGAGACGACCCAGAAGACCCAGCUUGCUUCUAGUCCAUCCUUCCCUCAUCUCUACCAUAUGGCCACUGGGGUGGUGGCCCAUCUGAGUGACAGACACUCCUGCAACCCAGUUUUCCAGCCACCAGUGGGAUGAUUGUAUGUGCCAGCACAUGGUAAUUUUGGUGUAAUUCUAACUUGGGCACAACGAAUGCUAUUUGUCAUUUAUAACCUGAAUCCGAAAGAAACUCCUAUUAUAAAUUUAAGAUAAUGUAUUUGAAAGUGCUUUGUAUAAAAAAGCACAUGAUAAAAGGAAUCAGAAUUAAUAAAAUGUUUGUUGAUCUUUGCUAGUUCUCAUUUCUUUCCUUUCUCUUCCUCUUCCUUUCCCCUGGAAUUUUCAGUCCUCAUUACAAAGCCUGAAGCUUAGUAGUACUGAAGGGAUUUUUUUCUAAAUUAUUGACCUGAGAAUGAUGAGGAAGACCACUUUGGUUUUUCACUCUACCUUGAAUUCAUGUUGUUAAGUAGCUUGUGGACAUUCUCCAUCACUUUGGAAUAUUUUGUUUGCUUUGCUUCUAUUUAUUUCUAUUUCAGACACCAACCAUCUGCCCAGUUGAAGAUUUGCAAAAUAAUUAUUUUUAUUCCAAACAUUUUGAAAGCUUAGAAAAUUUAUAUGUGUACAUAUACAUAUAAAGUUAACUUAGGAAAGUUAGUUUGAAGCUAACAGUGUCUGGCUGGGUGUGGUGGCCCAUGCCUGUAAUCCCAGCAAUUUGGGAGGCUGAGGCAGGCGGAUCACCUGAGGUCAGGAGU